RNAcentral lists this ribosomal RNA (468 nucleotides) under uncultured bacterium. RNAcentral describes it as "partial 16S ribosomal RNA". It matches the Rfam family "Bacterial small subunit ribosomal RNA", at positions 28 to 507 of the family's 1533-position model. The record is from RNAcentral.
GACGAACGCUGGCGGCGUGCUUAACACAUGCAAGUCGAACGGAAAGGCCCUGCUUUUGUGGGGUGCUCGAGUGGCGAACGGGUGAGUAACACGUGAGUAAACUGUACUUGACUUUGGGAUAACUUCAGGAAACUGGGGCUAAUAUCGGAUAGGAGCUCCUGAUGCGUGGUGGGGGAUGGAAAGAUUCGGCGGUUGGGGCUGGAAUAGCGGCUUAUCAGCUUGUUGGUGGGGUAGGGGCUUACCAAGCCUUUGACGGGUAGCCGGCCUGAGAGGGUGACCGGCCACAUUGGGACUGAGAUACGGCCCAGACUCCUACGGGAGGCAGCAGUGGGGAAUAUUGCACAAUGGGCGGAAGCCUGAUGCAGCGACGCCGCGUGCGGGAUGACGGCCUUCGGGUUGUAAACCGCUUUCGCAGGUGACGAAGCGUGAGUGACGGUAAUGGGUAAAGAAGCACCGGCUAACUACGUG